RNAcentral lists this ribosomal RNA (975 nucleotides) under Triticum aestivum (bread wheat). RNAcentral's name for it is "partial small subunit ribosomal RNA". Lineage: Eukaryota; Viridiplantae; Streptophyta; Magnoliopsida; Poales; Poaceae. The record is from RNAcentral.
AUGGAAGACUUCGAGGUCGAGUCCGGGGACUCCGACGUGGAGCUCAGGCGCACUAGGGUGGAUGAGAAGGAUGACCACAACGAGGUCGUCGAGAUCAAGUCAUUUGCUGCCGCCAAGAGUUCCCUCUCCCAAGGUUUUGAUGGUUCUUCAGCAAAAAGGAAGAGAAAGAGUCAAUUCAGGGGUAUUCGUCAGCGCCCCUGGGGUAAGUGGGCUGCUGAAAUCAGAGAUCCAAGCAAGGGUGCACGUGUCUGGCUUGGUACUUUCAACAGUGCUGAAGAAGCUGCGAGAGCUUAUGAUGUUGAAGCACGCAGGAUCCGUGGCAACAAGGCCAAGGUUAACUUUCCAAAGGAACUAAUAAUUCCUCAGAAGCGUCGUGCUCGCCCUGCUGCUCCUAAAUCACCAAAGCUAAGCGUGGCACCGGAACCUUCUGUCAUGCCAUCAGUCAACAACCUUGCCAACCCAAAUGCUUUCAUCUACCCAUCUGCUAACUUUGCAUCAAACCAGCCACUUGCUCUUCCUGACAACCUGUCAUUUGUUCAUGCAAUGAACUCGGAUGGCCAUGUUGAAGCCUCUGUUAUGAAUUCGUACUCUGACCAGGGAAUCAACUCCUUUAGCUUCUCUGACUUGGAGUGGGAUUAUGACACCAAGAAUCCAGAUAUACCAUCCAUUGCUCCCAUUUCUACCAUUACUGAAGGAGCAGAAUCUGCACUUGCCCAGAGUAACGCCUAUAACUCAGUUGUGAUUGCUGGAGGAGCUGAAUCUGCACUUGCCCAGAGUAACACCAACAACUUAGUGGUGCCUCAUGUUAUGGAGAACAAUGAUGUCGAUUUUGAGGCUUGGACGAGGUUUCUUAUAUAUGAUGGCGUGGACGAGCCGAUUGAUAGCCUUCUGAAUUUUGAUGUGCCUCGGGAUGUCAUUGGCAACAUGGACCUCUGGAGCUUCGAUGACAUGCCCAUGUGUGGCGAAUUUUUCUAA